Myotis lucifugus (little brown bat) is the source of this 158-nucleotide small nuclear RNA. Its record names the gene U1. It matches the Rfam family "U1 spliceosomal RNA". Rfam says of the family: U1 is a small nuclear RNA (snRNA) component of the spliceosome (involved in pre-mRNA splicing). Its 5' end forms complementary base pairs with the 5' splice junction, thus defining the 5' donor site of an intron. The record is from Ensembl. NCBI's taxonomy places the organism in Eukaryota, Metazoa, Chordata, Mammalia, Chiroptera, Vespertilionidae.
AUAUUUACCUGGCAGGGGAGAUACCAUAAUCAUGAAGGUGGUUUCCCAGGGUGAGGCUUACCCAUUGCACUCCAGAUGUGCUGACCUCUGCGAUUUCCCCAAAUGUGAGAAACUCAACUGCAUCAUUUGUGGUAGUGGGGGGCUGCAUUUGUGCUAAA